Molecule: ribosomal RNA, 523 nt
Filed under: uncultured bacterium
Lineage: Bacteria
Description: bacterial SSU rRNA
Rfam family: Bacterial small subunit ribosomal RNA
Source: RNAcentral
GACGAACGCUGGCGGCGUGCCUAACACAUGCAAGUCGAACGAAGCACUUCUUUAGAAGCAUUCGUGUGGAAGAAGAAAUGACUGAGUGGCGGACGGGUGAGUAACGCGUGAGUAACCUGCCCCAGAGAGCGGGAUAGCGUUUGGAAACGAACGGUAAUACCGCAUAAAGUAUUAGAUUCGCAUGGAUUUAAUACCAAAGAUUUAUCGCUCUGGGAUGGACUCGCGUUGGAUUAGAUAGUUGGUGGGGUAACGGCCUACCAAGUCAACGAUCCAUAGCCGGACUGAGAGGUUGAACGGCCACAUUGGGACUGAGACACGGCCCAGACUCCUACGGGAGGCAGCAGUGGGGGAUAUUGCGCAAUGGGCGAAAGCCUGACGCAGCGACGCCGCGUGAGGGAUGAAGGCCUUCGGGUCGUAAACCUCUGUCAGGAGGGAAGAAGUGCAUUCGUGCUAAUCAGCGAAUGUUUGACGGUACCUCCAAAGGAAGCACCGGCUAACUCCGUGCCAGCCGCCGCAGUAAGAC